This 370-nucleotide ribosomal RNA is filed under the name uncultured organism. RNAcentral's name for it is "bacterial SSU rRNA". It matches the Rfam family "Bacterial small subunit ribosomal RNA", at positions 528 to 896 of the family's 1533-position model. The record is from RNAcentral.
GAGGGGGCAAGCGUUGUUCGGAAUUACUGGGCGUAAAGGGCGCGUAGGCGGCCUGCUAAGUCGAACGUGAAAUCCCCGGGCUCAACCCGGGAACUGCGUCCGAUACUGGUUGGCUUGAAUUCGGGAGAGGGAUGUGGAAUUCCAGGUGUAGCGGUGAAAUGCGUAGAUAUCUGGAGGAACACCGGUGGCGAAGGCGGCAUCCUGGACCGAUAUUGACGCUGAUGCGCGAAAGCCAGGGGAGCAAACGGGAUUAGAUACCCCGGUAGUCCUGGCCCUAAACGAUGAAUGCUUGGUGUGGCGGGUAUCGAUCCCUGCCGUGCCGAAGCUAACGCAUUAAGCAUUCCGCCUGGGGAGUACGGUCGCAAGGCUG